UACGUAGGGGGCUAGCGUUGUCCGGAUUUAUUGGGCGUAAAGAGCGUGUAGGCGGCCAGGUAGGUCUGGUGUGAAAGUCGGGGGCUCAACCCUCGAAUGCCGGUGGAUACUGUCGGGCUAGAGUACGGAAGAGGCGAGUGGAAUUCCUGGUGUAGCGGUGAAAUGCGCAGAUAUCAGGAGGAACACCUAUUGCGAAGGCAGCUCGCUGGGACGUAACUGACGCUGAGACGCGAAAGCGUGGGGAGCAAACAGG
This 253-nucleotide ribosomal RNA is filed under the name uncultured bacterium. Its description in RNAcentral is "partial 16S ribosomal RNA". It matches the Rfam family "Bacterial small subunit ribosomal RNA", at positions 524 to 776 of the family's 1533-position model. The record is from RNAcentral.